GAUGAACGCUGGCGGCGUGCCUAACACAUGCAAGUCGAACGAAGCUUGACGGAUGAUUUCUUCGGAAUGAAACCAGAUAUGACUUAGUGGCGGACGGGUGAGUAACACGUGAGCAACCUGCCUUUCAGAGGGGGAUAACGGCUGGAAACGGUCGCUAACACCGCAUGAAGUGUUCGGAUGGCAUCAUCUGAACAUCAAAGAUUUAUCGCUGAAAGAUGGGCUCGCGUCUGAUUAGAUAGUUGGUGGGGUAACGGCCUACCAAGUCGACGAUCAGUAGCCGGACUGAGAGGUUGAACGGCCACAUUGGGACUGAGAUACGGCCCAGACUCCUACGGGAGGCAGCAGUGGGGAAUAUUGCACAAUGGGGGGAAACCCUGAUGCAGCAACGCCGCGUGAAGGAUGACGGUUUUCGGAUUGUAAACUUCUUUCUUAGUGACGAAGACAGUGACGGUAGCUAAGGAAUAAGAAGCCCCGGCUAACUACGUGCCAG
Molecule: ribosomal RNA, 490 nt
Filed under: uncultured bacterium
Lineage: Bacteria
Description: bacterial SSU rRNA
Rfam family: Bacterial small subunit ribosomal RNA
Source: RNAcentral